This 568-nucleotide ribosomal RNA is filed under the name uncultured archaeon. RNAcentral's name for it is "bacterial SSU rRNA". It matches the Rfam family "Archaeal small subunit ribosomal RNA", at positions 53 to 595 of the family's 1478-position model. The record is from RNAcentral.
GCUAGUCGUGCGCCUCCAGGCCACGGUGGAGGUGCGGCGCACAGCUCAGUAACACGUGGCUAACCUACCCUUGGGACGGGGACAACCCCGGGAAACUGGGGCUAAUCUCUGAUAGGUGAGGACUCCUGGAAUGGGUCCUCGCCGAAAGGGCGCCUAGACCAUGCUCCUAGGCGCUGCCCAAGGAUGGGGCCGCGGCCGAUCAGGUAGUUGGUGAGGUAACGGCUCACCAAGCCUAUAACCGGUACGGGCCGUGGGAGCGGGAGCCCGGAGAUGGACACUGAGACAAGGGUCCAGGCCCUACGGGGCGCAGCAGUCGCGAAACCUCCGCAAUACGCGAAAGCGUGACGGGGUCACCCCGAGUGCCGUCCGCUGAGGACGGCUUUUCCCCAGUGUAGCCAGCUGGGGGAAUAAGGGGAGGGCAAGUCGGGUGUCAGCCGCCGCGGUAAUACCCGCUCCCCGAGUGGUGGGGACGCUUAUUGGGCCUAAAGCAUCCGUAGCCGGCUGGGUAAGUCCCCUGUUAAAUCCAGCGAUUCAAUCGCUGGACUGCGGGGGGAUACUGCCCGGCUAG